AUCGCGUCGGCCAAUGGGAGCGCGCGACGCAUGCGCGCCGAGGCUCGUCCGAGACCGAAUUGCCGCCAACGACGGGCCAGCGCACAGUUUGAACUUGACUAGCGGUCCUCGUUCCUCGUUCCUCGCCAAACCUCUUCCUUCGUCGAACGUGUAAUCGUUUUCAGUGAAAGUAAAGAAACUACAAUGUGUCAACAGCAACAAAACUGCCAGGGAGAUUCCACUUACAUUUUUCUUUCCUGCAAAGAAAUGAUCAAAGAAGUGAAUCAACGAGAGCGAUGGUAUAAUACAAAGAGAUUUAACACCCUUAUGGAUCACGGUUCAUCAAGCUGAUAUGUCAGCAAGUUAUCUUCCCCUUUCCCGAGAGAUAUGGCGCGGUAUAAGUUUCGAGGGAACAAAACACAAUAAAAAAGUGAGUUAAUGCAAUAGUUGCUUUAUUCGCGCAUAUUCCGAAUUUAAUUUACAUCUUCUGUUAAAAAUGUGUUAAAAAAAUUAAAAAAG
Long non-coding RNA from Camponotus floridanus (Florida carpenter ant), 498 nucleotides. RefSeq lists it as uncharacterized. The record is from RefSeq and is a predicted model, not a curated record. Lineage: Eukaryota; Metazoa; Arthropoda; Insecta; Hymenoptera; Formicidae. The transcript is spliced from 4 exons.